UGUUCCAGCGAUGUUGUCCAUAUCAGAACGUGCUCAGACUCUUGUGCUGCGUUAAUGAAUCUCAUUCAGUAUAUUGCAAGCUAUGGUGACUUGCAGACACCUAACAAGGCAGAUAUGAAGCCUGGAGCCUUUCAAAGAAGGUCUAAGGUAGAUUCCAGUGGUCGAUCAUCCUCACGUGGUCCAGUACUUCCUGAAGCAGAUCAACAAAUGUUACGAGAUCUGAUGAGUGAUGCUAUGGAGGAGAUCGACAUGCAACAAGGCACCUCGUCAGUAAAACCACAGGCUAAUGGUGUUUUGGAUGAAAAAUCUCAAAUUCAGGAGCCAUGUUGUUCAGACCUCUUCCUGUUUCCUGACGAGAGUGGGAAUGUAUCCCAGGAGCCCGGCCCCACCUAUGCCUCAUUCUCUCACCAUUUCAUCAGUGAUGCAAUGACAGGUGUGCCCACUGAGAAUGAUGACUUUUGCAUUCUUUUUGCACCAAAAGCAGCCAUGCAGGAGAAGGAAGAAGAACCAGUUAUAAAAAUCAUGGUUGAUGAUGCAAUUGUGAUAAGAGACAAUUAUUUCAGUCUGCCCGUUAAGAAGACCGAUACGAGCAAGGCCCCCUUACACUUUCCCAUUCCUGUGAUUCGCUAUGUGGUGAAGGAGGUCUCUCUUGUCUGGCAUCUUUAUGGAGGAAAGGAUUUUGGAACAGUCCCUCCCACUUCUCCGGCUAAAAGUUAUAUUAGUCCCCACAGUUCGCCUUCUCACACACCCACGAGACAUGGACGUAAUACAGUAUGUGGGGGAAAAGGAAGGAACCAUGACUUUUUAAUGGAAAUACAGCUAAGCAAGGUGAAGUUUCAGCAUGAAGUCUACCCGCCAUGCAAACCUGAUUGUGAUUCCAGCCUCUCAGAACACCCAGUCUCCCGGCAGGUGUUCAUUGUUCAGGAUCUUGAGAUUCGAGAUCGUUUGGCAACAUCACAAAUGAAUAAAUUUUUAUACCUGUAUUGCAGUAAAGAAAUGCCUCGAAAAGCUCACUCCAACAUGUUGACAGUGAAAGCCUUACACGUGUGUCCAGAAUCUGGCAGGUCCCCACAGGAGUGCUGCUUGAGAGUGUCGCUGAUGCCGCUCCGCCUCAAUAUUGACCAGGAUGCUUUGUUCUUCCUGAAGGAUUUCUUCACAAGUCUUUCUACAGAAGUAGAGCUUCAGAUGACUCCAGAUCCAGAAGUUAAAAAGUCUCCUGGAGCUGAUGUCACCUGCAGUUUGCCAAGGCAUUUGAGUACCUCAAAGGAGCCAAAUCUAGUUAUUUCUUUCUCUGGGCCAAAACAGCCUUCCCAAAAUGAUAGUGCCAAUUCAGUGGAAGUGGUUAAUGGCAUGGAAGAGAAGAACUUCUCUGCUGAAGAAGCAUCUUUUAGGGAUCAGCCUGUGUUUUUUAGAGAAUUUAGAUUCACGUCAGAAGUUCCCAUUCGACUUGAUUAUCAUGGCAAACAUGUAUCAAUGGAUCAGGGUACGCUAGCUGGGAUUUUGAUUGGUCUGGCUCAGUUAAACUGCUCUGAACUAAAGCUCAAGAGGCUUUCCUAUCGACAUGGUUUACUAGGUGUUGACAAAUUAUUCUCAUAUGCAAUCACUGAGUGGCUUAAUGACAUUAAGAAGAACCAGCUACCAGGAAUCCUGGGAGGUGUUGGACCUAUGCAUUCACUAGUACAAUUAGUACAAGGCCUAAAGGACUUGGUCUGGCUCCCAAUAGAGCAGUACCGGAAGGAUGGCCGCAUUGUCAGAGGGUUUCAGAGAGGCGCUGCUUCCUUUGGUACCUCGACAGCGAUGGCUGCUCUAGAACUCACAAACAGAAUGGUUCAAACCAUACAGGUAAAUUGUAAACAUUAAGUUAGCAGAGGAUUGAUUUCACCAUAUUUGUAUGAAAGGAUCAUAGCUAAAUUUGAAGAA
RNAcentral lists this small RNA (1920 nucleotides) under Pan troglodytes (chimpanzee). RNAcentral's name for it is "processed transcript". Lineage: Eukaryota; Metazoa; Chordata; Mammalia; Primates; Hominidae. The record is from RNAcentral.